RNAcentral lists this transfer RNA (72 nucleotides) under Schizophyllum commune H4-8. RNAcentral's name for it is "tRNA-His (GTG) (tRNA-His-GTG-3-1)". It matches the Rfam family "tRNA". From Rfam's summary of the family: Transfer RNA (tRNA) molecules are approximately 80 nucleotides in length. The record is from RNAcentral. Lineage: Eukaryota; Fungi; Basidiomycota; Agaricomycetes; Agaricales; Schizophyllaceae.
GUCGGUAUCGAUUAGGGGUGAAAUCAUCUCGUUGUGGCCGAGAAGCCGCAGGUUCGAAUCCUGCUACUGACA